RNAcentral lists this ribosomal RNA (426 nucleotides) under uncultured prokaryote. RNAcentral's name for it is "bacterial SSU rRNA". It matches the Rfam family "Bacterial small subunit ribosomal RNA", at positions 355 to 774 of the family's 1533-position model. The record is from RNAcentral.
UCGAGAAUUUUUCACAAUGGGCGCAAGCCUGAUGGAGCGACGCCGCGUGGGGGAUGAAUGGCUUCGGCCCGUAAACCCCUGUCAUUCGCGAUCAACCCUUAUUAUUUAAAAGAUGAUGAGUUGAUAGUAGCGGAAGAGGAAGGGACGGCUAACUCUGUGCCAGCAGCCGCGGUAAUACAGAGGUCCCAAGCGUUGUUCGGAUUCACUGGGCGUAAAGGGUGCGUAGGUGGUGGCGUAAGUCGGAUGUGAAAUCUCGGGGCUUAACUCCGAAAUGGCAUUGGAAACUGCGUCGCUUGAGGGUCGGAGGGGGGACUGGAAUACUUGGUGUAGCAGUGAAAUGCGUAGAUAUCAAGUGGAACACCAGUGGCGAACGCGAGUCCCUGGACGACUCCUGACACUGAGGCACGAAAGCUAGGGGAGCAAACA